AGAGAGAUCAUCCAGCAUGGACCACAGUUUGCUCAUCUGCUGCAAAACAUCCUCUGUACUGCCAGUGGAGCACAUGUUAAGAUCCAGCCCAAGAAUUUGGCCACUUUGGUGUAAACUCCAGGAUGAUUGGGCUCAGCACAGCCUGUUCCCCAGCUGACGACUCCCACCAGCCUCCAUACACUGUCAUCCUGGCAAACCAGAGGGCCCCCACUGUCCCCCUGGAGAGUCUGGCUGCUGUCGGGAUGAAGGACCUGCGAUAGCGCUCUGUCCUGCACCAUGACUGUGACAGUCUGCUGCUGAAGGAGCUGCUCAGGGCCUCCGCAGUCUCAUGCAGGGGCUGAGAAGUGUUGCCCAUAAUGGACUUCAGCUUGGCUAACAUCCUCCUCUCACCCACCUACUCUAAGUUAUAAUAAUAAUAAUAAUAAUAAUAAUUUAAAGA
Molecule: long non-coding RNA, 439 nt
Organism: Maylandia zebra (zebra mbuna)
Lineage: Eukaryota; Metazoa; Chordata; Actinopteri; Cichliformes; Cichlidae
Source: RefSeq, a predicted model, not a curated record